Molecule: long non-coding RNA, 374 nt
Filed under: Capra hircus (goat)
Lineage: Eukaryota; Metazoa; Chordata; Mammalia; Artiodactyla; Bovidae
Description: lncRNA (ENSCHIG00010004696.1)
Source: RNAcentral
AUGUCCAUCAUCACCCCAAGAAACAUAACUUUACUUAGCAAAACCACUCUCCCCACUCACAAGAGCAAGAAGGGGGAGAAUUUUUGCUCUUCUUGGAAAGAACCCACAUCUGACAGUGGAUUUCUGCUCAGCUUCCCUGAAUAUACUUCUGGUUACGCCGCUGGAGGGUGUCAGACCUUGACUCGUGUUAGUGUCGUGUAUUAGGUCAGUGUUGGAGAAUUUCAUCUAUAAUACAUACCAAGCAGAUUCUUUGCCAUCUGUGCCACCAGAGACACCUGGUUAAAAUGUGAUUAAGUCAAAUGUGUUAAGAUGAAGUCAUAUAGAAGGAGGGUGAGCCCUUAAUCCAAUAUGACUGGUGUCUUUCUAAUACGGAG